AUCCACAUCAUGUUGAAACACCAGUUCCUGUAUGAUCAUCAAAGUUAAGCAAUGUCAAGCUUGGUCAGUACCUAGACGGGUGACUGAUUGGGAACACUGGGUGCUGUAA
This is a non-coding RNA of Acanthosepion pharaonis, 109 nucleotides long. NCBI's taxonomy places the organism in Eukaryota, Metazoa, Mollusca, Cephalopoda, Sepiida, Sepiidae. The record is from the annotation of a GenBank genome assembly.